Molecule: long non-coding RNA, 434 nt
Filed under: Struthio camelus australis
Lineage: Eukaryota; Metazoa; Chordata; Aves; Struthioniformes; Struthionidae
Description: lncRNA (ENSSCUG00000013129.1)
Source: RNAcentral
GGUGUCGAAGAUCACAGGUGAAAGCUUGGCAGCUCAGGAGGGUUUGUCAGGAGGACAUGGAGACCCUGUGGUGCAGAAGCUACUGAGCCUGUCAUAAUGGAGCUGUCCAUCCUCACCCUCCAAUCUCCUUUUCUGGCUCGACUCUUCACAUGGCUUCUCCGUGGCUAAUCCUCAGCUCAGAUGCCUGUGGACUUUCUAGACAAACUCCAAGGCCUCCUGGGCUUUGUGGUCAAAGCUGCGUUGGACUCUUCUGCAGGGGAGGAAAGGGAAGUAGUAAGGGUGUCCCCAAACACACCAAAGACUUGGGUGAGCAAGGCCGAGCUUUCUGGAAACACUACUGCUCGAUUCCCACAGAAGUAGCAAGAGGGCAAAAGAAAAAUCCCUUAUGGCUCCUUCACAGCAGUUUUAUACCCUUUUUUGUUUGUUUUUUCUGA